Molecule: ribosomal RNA, 704 nt
Filed under: uncultured fungus
Lineage: Eukaryota; Fungi
Description: eukaryotic LSU rRNA
Rfam family: 5.8S ribosomal RNA (bases 258-411)
Source: RNAcentral
AGUAAAAGUCGUAACAAGGUUUCCGUAGGUGAACCUGCGGAAGGAUCAUUAAUGAGAACGGUACCCCUCGGGGGGUUGUGCUGGCGCCUCGGCGCAACGUGCACGCCCCCUCCGGCGUCCAGACCCAUUCACACCUGUGCACGAACCUGUCGGACAAGGGGGGGUUGGCGCCUUGCGCGCGCCCUCCGGUCUGGCCCUUUCACACCAGCUUAUUAUUGUACGUCGAAUGCACCACUGCGCACGCGCAACCGAAAUACAACUUUUAACAACGGAUCUCUUGGUUCUCGCAUCGAUGAAGAACGCAGCGAAAUGCGAUAAGUAAUGUGAAUUGCAGAAUUCAGUGAAUCAUCGAAUCUUUGAACGCACCUUGCGCUCCUUGGUAUUCCGAGGAGCAUGCCCGUUUGAGUGUCUUGAUAUCAUCAAAUGCCCCCGCCUUUUCCCGGCGGGUCGGCGAUUUGGACUUGGACGUGCUGCCGGGCGCUCUGCGCUCGGCUCGUCUCGAAUGCAUUAGCCGGAUCCCCCCAACCUCUGGCCGUCGGACCUUAUGGCGUGAUAAGAUCACCCGUCGAGCAGUCCGCGGUCAACGGUCGGGUUCCGCUUCCAAUCGUCCCGUGGCGGACAGCACCGAAACCUCGGUUUUCGACAUCCGACCUCAAAUCGGGUAGGACUACCCGCUGAACUUAAGCAUAUCAAUAAGCGGAGGA